AUUGAACGCUGGCGGCAUGCUUUACACAUGCAAGUCGAACGGUAACAGGCCGCAAGGUGCUGACGAGUGGCGAACGGGUGAGUAAUGCAUCGGAACGUGCCCAGUCGUGGGGGAUAACUACUCGAAAGAGUAGCUAAUACCGCAUACGAUCUAUGGAUGAAAGCGGGGGACCGUAAGGCCUCGCGCGAUUGGAGCGGCCGAUGUCAGAUUAGGUAGUUGGUGGGGUAAAGGCUCACCAAGCCAACGAUCUGUAGCUGGUCUGAGAGGACGACCAGCCACACUGGGACUGAGACACGGCCCAGACUCCUACGGGAGGCAGCAGUGGGGAAUUUUGGACAAUGGGCGCAAGCCUGAUCCAGCAAUGCCACGUGCAGGAAGAAGGCCUUCAGGUUGUAAACUGCUUUUGUACGGAACGAAACGGCUCUGGUUAAUACCCGGGGCUAAUGACGGUACCGUAAGAAUAAGCACCGGCUAACUACGUG
RNAcentral lists this ribosomal RNA (482 nucleotides) under uncultured bacterium. Its description in RNAcentral is "partial 16S ribosomal RNA". It matches the Rfam family "Bacterial small subunit ribosomal RNA", at positions 30 to 507 of the family's 1533-position model. The record is from RNAcentral.